Molecule: ribosomal RNA, 565 nt
Filed under: uncultured Glomeromycotina
Lineage: Eukaryota; Fungi; Glomeromycota
Description: SSU rRNA
Rfam family: Eukaryotic small subunit ribosomal RNA
Source: RNAcentral
GGUUCGAUUCCGGAGAGGGAGCCUGAGAAACGGCUACCACAUCCAAGGAAGGCAGCAGGCGCGCAAAUUACCCAAUCCCGACACGGGGAGGUAGUGACAAUAAAUAACAACACAGGGCUCUUUUGGGUCUUGUUAUUGGAAUGAGUACGAUUUAAAUCUCCUAACGAGGAACAAUUGGAGGGCAAGUCUGGUGCCAGCAGCCGCGGUAAUUCCAGCUCCAAUAGCGUAUAUUAAAGUUGUUGCAGUUAAAAAGCUCGUAGUUGAAUUUCAGGCCUGGCUGGACGGUCCGCCCUUCGGGUGAGUACUGUCUGUGGUCGGGUCCUACCUUCUGGCGAAGCGUCAUGGCCUUAACCGGCCGUGGCGGGGAACCAGGACUUUUACUGUGAAAAAAUUAGAGUGUUCAAAGCAGGCAAUCGCUUGGAUACAUUAGCAUGGAAUAAUGGAAUAGGACAAUGGUUCUAUUUGUUGGUUUCUAGGACCGUUGUAAUGAUUAAUAGGGAUAGUUGGGGGCAUUAGUAUUCAAUUGUCAGAGGUGAAAUUCUUGGAUUUAUUGAAGACUAACUAC